GAAGCUGACAUAUAAGUGGUACAUACACUAAAAUUGGAACUAUACAGAGAAGAUUAGCAUGGCCCCUGCGCAAGGAUGACACGCAAAAUCGUAGUGUCCGGUCAGAGGGUU
Molecule: small nuclear RNA, 111 nt
Organism: Schistocerca gregaria
Lineage: Eukaryota; Metazoa; Arthropoda; Insecta; Orthoptera; Acrididae
Source: RefSeq, a predicted model, not a curated record